RNAcentral lists this ribosomal RNA (468 nucleotides) under uncultured bacterium. RNAcentral describes it as "partial 16S ribosomal RNA". It matches the Rfam family "Bacterial small subunit ribosomal RNA", at positions 28 to 507 of the family's 1533-position model. The record is from RNAcentral.
GACGAACGCUGGCGGCGUGCUUAACACAUGCAAGUCGAACGGAAAGGCCCUGCUCUUGUGGGGUUCUCGAGUGGCGAGCGGGUGUGUAACACGUGAGUAACCUGCCCUUGACUUUGGUAUAACUUCAGGAAACUGGGGCUAAUACCGGAUAGGAUCUCCUUCUGCAUGGUGGGGUGUGGAGAGUUUCGGCGGUUGGGGAUGGACUCGCGGCUUAUCAGCUUGUUGGUGGGGUAGUGGUUUCCCAAGGUUUUGACGGGUAGCCGGCCUGAGAGGGUGACCGGCCAAAUUGGGACUGAGAUAGGGCCCAGACUCCGAGGGGAGGCAGCAGUGGGGAAUAUUGCACAACGGGCGGAAGCCUGAUGCAGCACCGCCGCGUGCGGGAUGACGGCCUUCGGGUUGUAAACCGCUUUCGCCUGUGACGAAGCGUGAGUGACGGUAAUGGGUAAAGAAGCACCGGCUAACUACGUG